Molecule: ribosomal RNA, 378 nt
Filed under: uncultured Planctomycetota bacterium
Lineage: Bacteria; Pseudomonadati; Planctomycetota
Description: bacterial SSU rRNA
Rfam family: Bacterial small subunit ribosomal RNA
Source: RNAcentral
UAAUACGGAGGGUACAAACGUUGUUCGGAAUCACUGGGCAUAAAGCGCGCGUAGGCGGUCUACCCAGUUAGGUGUGAAAGCCCUCGGCUCAACCGAGGAAUUGCAUCUAAUACUAGUAGGCUUGAGGAUGGUAGGGGUGUGUGGAACUUCAGGUGGAGCGGUGAAAUGCGUAGAUAUCUGAAGGAACACCUGUGGCGAAAGCGGCACACUGGAUCAUUUCUGACGCUGAGGCGCGGAAGCUAGGGUAGCGAACGGGAUUAGAUACCCCGGUAGUCCUAGCCGUAAACGAUGGGCACUAGGUAAGGGGAGAACCUGUUUCUCUCUUUGCCGUAGCUAAUGUGUUAAGUGCCCCGCCUGGGGAGUACGCUCGCAAGGGUA